This 491-nucleotide ribosomal RNA is filed under the name uncultured bacterium. RNAcentral describes it as "partial 16S ribosomal RNA". It matches the Rfam family "Bacterial small subunit ribosomal RNA", at positions 28 to 507 of the family's 1533-position model. The record is from RNAcentral.
GAUGAACGCUGGCUACAGGCUUAACACAUGCAAGUCGAGGGGAAACGACGGGGAAGCUUGCUUCCCCGGGCGUCGACCGGCGCACGGGCGAGUAACGCGUAUCCAACCUGCCUCUGACUGAGGGAUAACCCGUCGAAAGUCGGCCUAAUACCUCAUGGUAUCGUCUGCGGGCAUCCAACGACGAUUAAAGAUUUCAUCGGUCAGGGAUGGGGAUGCGUCUGAUUAGCUUGUUGGCGGGGUAACGGCCCACCAAGGCUACGAUCAGUAGGGGUUCUGAGAGGAAGGUCCCCCACAUUGGAACUGAGACACGGUCCAAACUCCUACGGGAGGCAGCAGUGAGGAAUAUUGGUCAAUGGGCGAGAGCCUGAACCAGCCAAGUAGCGUGCAGGAAGACGGCCCUAUGGGUUGUAAACUGCUUUUAUGCGGGGAUAAAGUGAGGGACGUGUCCCUCAUUGCAGGUACCGCAUGAAUAAGGACCGGCUAAUUCCGUG